UACAGAGGUCUCAAGCGUUGUUCGGAUUCAUUGGGCGUAAAGGGCGCGUAGGCGGUUGGGCAAGUCUGGUGUGAAAUCUCGGAGCUCAACUUCGAAAUUGCACUGGAUACUGCUCUGCUAGAGGGCUGGAGAGGAGAUCGGAAUUCACGGUGUAGCAGUGAAAUGCGUAGAUAUCGUGAGGAAGACCAGUGGCGAAGGCGGAUCUCUGGACAGCUCCUGACGCUGAGGCGCGAAGGCUAGGGGAGCAAACGGG
This 253-nucleotide ribosomal RNA is filed under the name uncultured bacterium. RNAcentral's name for it is "partial 16S ribosomal RNA". It matches the Rfam family "Bacterial small subunit ribosomal RNA", at positions 524 to 776 of the family's 1533-position model. The record is from RNAcentral.